AGCGAACGCUGGCGGCAGGCCUAACACAUGCAAGUCGAACGCCUGUAGCAAUACAGGAGUGGCAGACGGGUGAGUAACACGUGGGAACGUGCCCUUCGGUUCGGAAUAACUCAGGGAAACUUGGGCUAAUACCGGAUACGUCCGCGAGGAGAAAGAUUCAUCGCCGAAGGAUCGGCCCGCGUCCGAUUAGCUAGUUGGUGGGGUAAUGGCCCACCAAGGCGACGAUCGGUAGCUGGUCUGAGAGGAUGAUCAGCCACACUGGGACUGAGACACGGCC
RNAcentral lists this ribosomal RNA (277 nucleotides) under uncultured bacterium. RNAcentral's name for it is "partial 16S ribosomal RNA". It matches the Rfam family "Bacterial small subunit ribosomal RNA", at positions 29 to 331 of the family's 1533-position model. The record is from RNAcentral.